GGCAUGGUAGUCAGGUCUUCCUUAACUGGUUGUACUUGACUUGCCAUGCCUUCUUCUUCUAGAUGCUGGCACGUCGCAAGGCGUGUCUGUGCUCUAGGACCUUUACUGUGAAUAAAUUAGAGUGUUCAAAGCAGGCAGUCGCUUGAAUACGUUAGCAUGGAAUAAUAGAAUAGGACUGUGGUUCUAUUUUAUUGGUUUAGGACCGAAGUA
This 210-nucleotide ribosomal RNA is filed under the name uncultured fungus. Its description in RNAcentral is "partial small subunit ribosomal RNA". The stretch from base 86 to 210 matches the Rfam family "Eukaryotic small subunit ribosomal RNA", at positions 735 to 864 of the family's 1831-position model. The record is from RNAcentral. Lineage: Eukaryota; Fungi.